GUCCUCGUGGAAACCGGGCGGCGGAGCGGGGCCCGGGCUGAGGCAGGCCCGGGGGACUGCAGACCUUGCUCACUACGGAGCUUGCUGCUCUGGCCAAGCUCGGCGAGUGCCCGCUUCGUGGCAGGGCCACGCGUUGCCCCGUCGUCAAUGAGGCGAGGGGCCUUCGCCGGGCUUUGCCAGAGGACUGCGGUUGCACUCCGAGCCACUCCUGCCUUAAGUACCAGGCUCCGACCACGUGCCGCUGCUGCACUCAUGGCCCUAGCAGGCACUGAAAGGGACUGGUCAGAUCCAUCAGGAGCACUUCUGAGGUUUGCUUCCUCCCCGCCAGGCCUCAGGACAGAACUGCGGGGGAAUCUGCGAUUAUCAGGAUAACCCAGGGGCCGCAUCUUUGUGUGCCGCUGCGUGAAGCUGACUUGACCAGAGCCAGAGCGUGCCCAGGAUGACGCUGGGAAAAGUUAGCGAGCGGUGCCAGAGAGCUCAACACUAGUCCUUUCACAGAUUUACAGAAGAGUUGCAAAGAUAGCACAGAGCUCCCAGAGACGUGUCACUGCUGUCUCAACGCGAACAUCUUAUACAACCCUGGAAUGGAUCCAGGUUCCCAUGUUGCACUGAGGGGUCGUGUCUCCCUGGGCCCCUCCGGUCUGCGGGAGUUUCUCAGUCCUUUCUCGUCUGUCGUGGCCUUGACCAUUCUUGAAGAGUGCUGGUCAGGUACUGUGUGGAGGUCUGUGCAUUUGUGGAAAUGUGCUGGAAUGGGCAACCUUGGCCUAAGGGGUCGAGUGGGGUGGGUGAACCACGGCCUGCGGGGUGGAUUCAGGGAGCUGUGUUUGUAUGGCCUACAAGCUGAGAAUGGGUUUCAUAUUUUUAAAUGGUUGAAAAAAAAUCAUAGAAUAUCUCAUGAUAUGUGGAAAUUCGGUGUCCACAAGUAAACUCGAUCAGGAUGCAGACACAGCGUUCUCCUGGUUGCUUCUGCGCUGCAGCGGUAGGAUCACAGAGUCCAGGAGGGACCCUUUGGCCCAAGGAGCCUCAAUAUUUACUCUCUUCAUCUUGACAGGGGAGUUUGCCGGCCCUGCUGCUGACGGCCCUGUGAGGACCUGGCAUUCACCUUAACUGAAAGCCAAGUCAGCUAUGAGGUGAGCACUGAUGCUUGGAGUUCACUCAUUCCAUUGUCCCACAAACGUUUGUUGAGGGCCCAUCGUCAAAAUUGGGAGAGAUCCCUAUCUGAGCAAACGUUAACUCUUGUUCAAACUCUGGGAUUGGGAGAGGUUAAUUCUCACCAAAUGUCUUCCCGGUUCGCAGGCACAGUUUCUGCCUGUGAUAAUAAUAGCUGCUGUCAUAUUCUGAGUGCUACCCUGUGCCAGUAACGCUUUACUUGCACCAUCCCUUUUAAUCCUCACAGCCACCCCAGGAGCUGUUCCAGGAGGCGACUGAGGUUUACGAGCUUAGCCUCACCUAAGGGCACACAGGUAUCUACUGGAUGGCAGAAGCAGAGCAGGAACGCAGCCAGGCCCAGAGCAGACGCCACGCAAAUCAGGCACUCGCUGCUCAGGAGCAACGGGGUCAGGAACAGAGCUGGGGCUGGACGAGGCUCUUGGUGGUUCCUGAUCAGGAAGUAACAAAUCAGGACAGCUAGCCAGAGGCCCUGUCUGAAACACACAGGAUCCUUUUUCAAAGGAACAUCAUAACGUGCUUUUUGGUAUUCAGUGUUUUGUUCCUAAGUCUUUUUUUUUUUUUUUUAAGAGAUGGAGUCAUGUUCUGUUGCCCAGG
Non-coding RNA from Microcebus murinus (gray mouse lemur), 1764 nucleotides. The record is from RefSeq and is a predicted model, not a curated record. Lineage: Eukaryota; Metazoa; Chordata; Mammalia; Primates; Cheirogaleidae.